Molecule: ribosomal RNA, 478 nt
Filed under: uncultured organism
Description: partial 16S ribosomal RNA
Rfam family: Bacterial small subunit ribosomal RNA
Source: RNAcentral
CGUACACUCCUGCGGGAGGCAGCAGUGGGGAAUAUUGCACAAUGGGCGCAAGCCUGAUGCAGCCAUGCCGCGUGUAUGAAGAAGGCCUUCGGGUUGUAAAGUACUUUCAGCGGGGAGGAAGGCGAUAAGGUUAAUAACCUUGUUGAGUGACGGUACCCGCAGAAGAAGCACCGGCUAACUCCGUGCCAGCAGCCGCGGUAAUACGGAGUGUGCAAGCGUUAAUCGGAAUUACUGGGCGUAAAGCGCACGCAGGCGGUCUGUCAAGUCGGAUGUGAAAUCCCCGGGCUCAACCUGGGAACUGCAUUCGAAACUGGCAGGCUAGAGUCUUGUAGAGGGGGGUAGAAUUCCAGGUGUAGCGGUGAAAUGCGUAGAGAUCUGGAGGAAUACCGGUGGCGAAGGCGGCCCCCUGGACAAAGACUGACGCUCAGGUGCGAAAGCGUGGGGAGCAAACAGGAUUAGAAACCCGUGUAGUCCUAUG